Molecule: ribosomal RNA, 274 nt
Filed under: uncultured bacterium
Lineage: Bacteria
Description: partial 16S ribosomal RNA
Rfam family: Bacterial small subunit ribosomal RNA
Source: RNAcentral
AUACGGAGGGUCCAAGCGUUAUCCGGAUUCAUUGGGUUUAAAGGGUCCGCGGGCGGGAAAAUAAGUCAGUGGUGAAAGCCUACAGCUCAACUGUAGAACUGCCAUUGAUACUGUUUUUCUUGAGUAUAGAUGAAGUGGGCGGAAUAUAUCAUGUAGCGGUGAAAUGCAUAGAUAUGAUAUAGAACACCGAUUGCGAAGGCAGCUCACUAAACUAUUACUGACGCUCAGGGACGAAAGCGUGGGGAGCGAACAGGAUUAGAAACCCUAGUAGUCC